AUGAACGCUGGCGGCGUGCCUAAUACAUGCAAGUCGAGCGAACAGACGAGGAGCUUGCUCCUCUGACGUUAGCGGCGGACGGGUGAGUAACACGUGGAUAACCUACCUAUAAGACUGGGAUAACUUCGGGAAACCGGAGCUAAUACCGGAUAAUAUAUUGAACCGCAUGGUUCAAUAGUGAAAGACGGUUUUGCUGUCACUUAUAGAUGGAUCCGCGCCGCAUUAGCUAGUUGGUAAGGUAACGGCUUACCAAGGCAACGAUGCGUAGCCGACCUGAGAGGGUGAUCGGCCACACUGGAACUGAGACACGGUCCAGACUCCUACGGGAGGCAGCAGUAGAGAAUCUUCCGCAAUGGGCGAAAGCCUGACGGAGCAACGCCGCGUGAGUGAUGAAGGUCUUCGGAUCGUAAAACUCUGUUAUUAGGGAAGAACAAAUGUGUAAGUAACUAUGCACGUCUUGACGGUACCUAAUCAGAAAGCCACGGCUAACUACGUG
This 496-nucleotide ribosomal RNA is filed under the name uncultured bacterium. Its description in RNAcentral is "partial 16S ribosomal RNA". It matches the Rfam family "Bacterial small subunit ribosomal RNA", at positions 29 to 507 of the family's 1533-position model. The record is from RNAcentral.